GAUAGAUAGAUAGAUAGAUCGAUAGAUAGAGGCAUAGCCUGCUUUUACCAGGAGGGUAAAAGCAAGAACAGCAGCUAUUCAGCUUCAGAUGCCUGAAUCCGAGUUCAGGUAGGCCACCUGGAUUCUAGUGAUUCCAGCAUAGUGGUAGACUUUGGAGUCAAACAAGUAUUUCUGCUAAGGCUGUGUAACCUUAAGCAAGUUGCUUAACAUCUCUGACAAUUGACAUAUGGAAACUCUGAUGAUUUCUUCACCUGUGAAAUAUGGAUGAUAAUAGUGCUUUUCUCAGAGGGCUGAGAGAUAAUUUAAUGAAAUAAUAUAUAUAAAUAUACAAAACUAGCUAGCACUUAAGAAGUGUAUAAUAAUUUUUUGUUUUGAAAAGUAGAUUAGCUGAGAACCCCUAAAAGGAUGUUAGAAUAGAGUGAAACAACUUUCCACAAGGCAAGGAAGCUUAUGGACAGUUUUAUAGAUGUAUCCUAGGUUUAUUCUGUGACAAGCAAUGCUAAUAGUGACCUUAGCAAUUAUUAAGAGCUUGGUAUGUGCCAGGCACCACACUAAACACUUUAUGUGGAUUAGCUCUGAGCAAGCCUCUGGGUUCUAAGACUGAAGACUAUCUUAAGGCAAGCGGCGGGGAAGGCUGUGCUUUCUGCUUAUGUGUAUCAAUGCCAGAGAAGUGCUCCACUGUUCUCUGGGAUGUGUUUACUCCCCCAGCCCUUGGCAAGUUUAUAAACCAUUGGCUUUGAAAGUUUCCACGUGUCAAGCACGUGGGAUCUGUUUUGCUCUAAUUCACUUGGGUUUGCAACUGAAAAGCUCUGACCUUCCCAAAGUUCACCUGGGUGUGUGAAGAUGGCUCAGGGGGCCCAGGGCCAAGAGUAAGUUGUGCAAAUCUUCCCUCUACCACAGCAGCCUGCAGAGAAUGCCUCCAACCCAGGACUGCUCCUUAAAGUCAAGGAUGCAGCACAUCUGUGUUUCUUCAGCACCUAGACCCAAUCUUGCAUGUGGCAGGCAAUCAAUGUCUUAAGGAAGGGAAGACAGAACCUAGCUUCCAUCUUUUUCUCUAUCCCCAGCAUCCCCACCCUGUCUGCUCCUAUCCUCUGCACCUACCUUGUGUCAGCCAUACAUGCGUUAAUGGUCUCAGUUGAAAACAGGGUCCUCCCUGAGGCAUGUGAGGCAUCUGGGUAGUUUUCAGAGGCUGGUGUCAAGAGCAAGAACAGACCAUCAGGGAUCAAGCUUGGCCUUACCCAUGGCUUGGCUGAGUGACACUGGACAAAUUACUUCUCUCUCUGCACUGCAGUUUUCUUUUAUGUAAAAUGUAGGUGAUAAUAAGAGAACUUUCUUCAUUGUAUUGUAAGGCAUUUGAUUCAAUGUUGGUACAUAAUAAAUCACUGUAUAUUGAAACAUAUGUAAAUACACAGUACACACAGCUAUAUACACAUAUAUGCACAGAUAUAGACACAAUAUACAAACAUACACACACAAGGAUAGUGUGUAUGCAUAUAUGUGUGUGUGUAUGUGUGAAUAAUCCCUGGAAGCUGAGAAGCAGCCAGGAAGUGCUCGUUCUACACUCACAUGCACCCACACACUGACUUAAAAACACAGUGUAACAUACAAAUCCAUCCAAUAAGCAUUCUAAAUGAUGACUACUGUAAUAAGAAGUAGCGCAAUGGAAAGAGUAAGCCAGGAAAGACUUCCUGGAGGAAACAACUUCAAACUGCGCAUGGAAAAUAAGUUGAGUGAAAUUAUUGUCCUAUGCUGAGACUUACUCCAGAAUUAAGAACAGGGUAAAAUCCAACCAAGAGGCUGCCCAGCCUCAGUGGGAGAGAGAUCGCUAAUAGAAGUGAGAGUCUCUGUCUAUUCUCUCACUUCAUUCUGAGCUACAACUGGCAGAGGAGUUAGCUUCUCCUGCAAUUCCAGACCUUAGGAAAAUUCAGAGAAUAAUCCUGUGAAAUCCUGUAGGAAAACACAGUUAAAGUCCCCAUAUGGUUUUCACAAAAUCUUGUCUCUGUUAAGACCAAACACCAAAGAGCUGGUCAGAUAUCUUCCUGAAGAUGGGGCCUCCUCCAGCCAUAUCAGCUGGGUUCCCUCGAUCCCCAAAGCAAGAAGAAAAAAAAGGCUCUCAGAGUAGGUACCGUGCACCCCUGGCUCCAGGGGGAGACUUGGGUUGGAGAGGCCAGCCAGGCGCCUUGGCUAACGUUUGGUUCCACAGCUAAGUGCAGUCUCCAGCUUAGCAGCCUCUCCCCCUUUAUCUCGCCCCCACCGUUCCUUUCACUUUGACAUAAUGAAAGUGCAACUUGCACACUGUCUCGAGAUUGCAUAUGAUAAUUGGAAACAUGUGUCUUAGCUGGCAUACCUUCAAAGGGCUUUGGAACUCUGACUUGGGCCGUCUUCUGAUUGCAAUAGCAAUCCCCCAAGCUGGCUUUCCAGUCUUCACAUUCCUUCAGUUGCACCUUAGUAUUAACUCUUGCCAGGAGAAGGCUGUUGCAAGCAGAGCUCAUUCCUGAGGGUCUGCAGAGUCUGGCAAUAAUGGUUUCCUGAGUGCACAGCAAGGUUCUGGGCUUGGCAUCUGGGCACUGACUUUCCAGAAAAUAACAGCAAGAAACAGCAGGUCCAUUUUCCGUUUUGCAGAAAUGGCACAUUGAUGAGUUGUCACCGAGGGAGAAGCCUGGGUCUUUUAGAGUAUUGCUUGGACUCUCAAGGGUUGUGAUGCUGGACCCCAUCUAAUCCAGCAGUAUGCUUUUUUCCUGAAGAAAAUAUCAAAAUGUCAUUAUGUCACCAGGAGACUCCUGCGGGAAGUAUAGAAUCAAUGGUGACUCCACUAUAAUCACCCCAAGCUGUGUGAUGGACAGGAAUGGACUCUAUGGCUUCAUUCCAUUAGGGAAACCAAGAAGGACUAGAGAAAGGAAAGGUAACCUACGCAUCAUCAGUUCCAACCCUGAGGAGGAGAGGUAGAAAAGACCAGAAAGCAAAGUGCUAAGAGAAGAGACCAUCUGGCUCACUGUUGGACAGCCUGGAUGCUACAGGAAUGUUUGGACAUGCUUAAAAACAUAGGAAGAAGUCAAACAGGGAGAAACAAUGGGUGCUAGAGAAGAUGGUACAUAGAAGAAAAACAGAUUCCUUCAUGAAGAGACACUAGGUAAGAAAUAUCAACUGGUGACCAAGCAAACUGAAGCCUAUUUUUCUCCAUUCCAGGAUUAUUGAAUACCAGCUACACAUCUGUAUCCAAGCAGUAGCAUCCUCUACUUUUAUUGUUCAUUCGUCUAAUCACCCGUUCUUUCAGCAAAUAUGUAUUAAGUUCUGUCUAUGUGCUAGAUAUUGGAGCUAAAAAUAUUAAUAAAACAGAGUAUUUGCCUUCAGAAGGCUCACCAACAAGUGGGAAAACUAUACAGGACACAAUUAAUAAGUGAUGAGUAGAUGCAAAGGUAAACAAAUUUUAACACGAGGUGAGAGAAAGCUCUUAAUUCUGUGUAUGGAGGAAAGGAAGGCCUUUCGUGGAGGGGUAUUUGAGCUAAGACUUGGAGGAUGAGUGGGAGCAUACUACCAGUGCAAGAGGAAGUCUGAGGUAGAGGAGACAACAUUUGCAGAGUCCUGGAGACAAAGAAAAAUGUGGAGUGGUCAGUAGCUGAAAAAAGAUAGCGUGGAUAGAGUCUGAGGUGGCCUUAGGAGUCCAGAGAAGAUGAGACUGGAAGAGCAGGUAGGAUUCACUCAUGAUAGGCAAUGAACUCUGUUUUCUACAAUUUAGAUUUUAUUGGCUAGGCAAAUGGUGAAGCUCCAGUUUGCAUUUUAGAAAGACUGCUCAGGCAACCAUGUAAAAGAUAAGUUCAAUCAUAACGACCUGAAGAGAAUUUUAACUGAACUUGACAUCAAUAACUGGUUGGUUCAUCUACAUUUGGCAGUAUACCCACAGUGCUACCUUGAUUUGUUUGGAAGAAUAUCUAAACCUUAAUUAGAAUCCGGAAUCUCUGAAAAAGAUGGCUGGGAUUAGCUCAGUUUUUUCUUAAUUGUGUUCUACAGAAUGCUAGUUCUAUGGAGUAUUAGUAGGUGCUAAGGGGUAUGGGGGUAGAGGAGUGUCUACCAGUUACAUUUUAGGAAAUUAUACUUAAGGUUAUUACCCUUAGGGAAUAGAGUGGCAUUAUGGGUAACCCAGAAAAGAUAAAGCAGAGAAAAUGCUUCUAUGUUUCUUCAGAAAGCAUCAAAGAAGACAUAUUGCAGGAAGCUAUAGACACAAACAUAACUUCUUGCUUCCUUCUCUGUGCUUACUUUCCUUGGACUAGUGCUAAAAUGGGCUGAUAUUGAUAUUCUCUGAGCACACAAGUACUUGUUGCAGUUUUAACUUCAGCUGGGUGGCUGGGAGAAAAUUAAUUUAUGAUUUGAGAAUUUGUUGUGCAGCUGACUAACCCUCCCCUAGAGAAAGGGCCAGGGUGUGUAGAUGGUAUCAGCCAGGCUGAUCAAGGUGAGAAGGUUCAAGGGGUCAGGAUAAGUCAGAAAGAGGAGGGACCAGGGAAGAGAUGAGAGAAGAGAUCCAGGACUUGAGUGUUAAGCAGUGACCGUGGGAGAAUGUUUGAGUAUCAAGAUAAAGAUGUUGAAUCUGACAUUAGACCUGGGCCUGAAAAAAUCAGUAGGAUAUUAGGUCCCAAUUAAUGUAGAGACAUAAUAGGAAGCUGGGAACAAUAUGUGAAUGAAACAAGAAGGUCUAGGCCUUUCUCCGUGAAUGGAGACGGGUAGCUCGCAGCAUCUUUUUAUGAGGCGCUGUCUGUGUGAUAUGGAAGUGCGGGGGUGGGGGGGUCACUGUGCAUUAAAGACACAGCACCUGGGUAGGCAAGGUCAUACCCCUGGACUAUAAGUUACUGGGCAGGAAUCAUUUGAUUAAUUUUAGUUCCUGUAGCACCCAAUACAGAACUUGACACAACAGUAGGUGCUCAGUUAAGAUUUAUUGAACAGAUGGCUAAAUAAAUUCUAUAAUUUAAGCUUUCCUCCACAUCACCAACCUAUCCCUACCUCUGUGUUCCAAAGGAGAUUCUACUUUGACACGGUGUUUCUUUGUAGAAUGACCCUCUGAGUCUUUAUCCCAACAGAAAGAUACGAAAACCUUCAUUAAGAUGUAGGCUUCCUAUUUCAAUAGAAAAAUGACACCAGUUGGCAGAUCUAUUUCUGGUGGAACACCGAAAGUGGCACAGGGUCUGAAUGUUUGUGUCCCCUCAAAAUGUAUAUGUUGAAAUCUAAACUCCCAAGGUGAUGCUAUUAGGAGGUAGGGCCUCUAGAAGAUGAGCAGGUAAUAAGGACAGAGCCCUCAUGAGUGGAACUAGUGCCCUUAUUUAAAAAGCCAGAAAGAGCUGCCUUGCCCCUUCCACCCUGUGAGGGAACCGCAAGAAGGCACCAUCUGGAAGGAAGCAGGCCCUCACCAGACACUGAAUUUGCCAGAACCUUGAUGUUGGGCUUCUCAGCCUCCUGAACUGUGAGAAAUAAAUUUCUAUUGCUUAUUAGACACGUGGGUUAAGGUAUUUUGUUAUAGCAGGACAGACAGACUGAGUCUUGCUAACCACUCCUCUCCCUCUUUUUACUUCAUUCCA
Chlorocebus sabaeus (green monkey) is the source of this 5564-nucleotide long non-coding RNA. RefSeq lists it as uncharacterized. NCBI's taxonomy places the organism in Eukaryota, Metazoa, Chordata, Mammalia, Primates, Cercopithecidae. The record is from RefSeq and is a predicted model, not a curated record.